CGGGGGGUUUGGGGUACAAAAGGGGCUCUGGGCAGGUGACAGGGCCAGCUUGGGGACAAUGGGGGGUCACAGGGGACACAGGGGGCGGGCGCAGGGGGUGACACACCCAGGCACACAGGUGACACACAGAGGGACACAGGACUGCAGGGACACAGCCCGGUUUAUUGCCAUGGUGACACCCCAAAACUCACAGCCUCAGUGUCCCCAGGACUGGUCACUGCGGGGUCACCCCAAUGUCCCCAGGACUGGUCACUGCAGGGUCACCCCAAUGUCCCCAGGACUGGUCAGUGUGGGGUCACCCCAGUGUCCCCAGGACUGGUCACUGUGGGGUCACCCCAAUGUCCCCAGGACUGGUCACUGUGGGGUCACCCCAGUGUCCCCCCAGGACUGGUCACUGCGGGGUCACCCCAGUGUCCCCCCAGGACUGGUCACUGCGGGGUCACCCAAUGUCCCCAGGACUGGUCAGUGUGGGGUCACCCCAGUGUCCCCAGGACUGGUCACUGCAGUGACGUGAUGCUGCAGCUCCCAGGGGUCAGUUGGUCACCACAGGGGUCACUUGGCCAUGGCAGUGUCCCCACGGUGUCCCUGUGGUCACUGUGCCAUGGCAAUCCCUGUUCCACAGCCACGUCCCCACGGUGGUCACUAUGGUCAGUCACUGUGCCAUGGUGGUGUCCUGGUGUCCCCAUGGUGGUCACUAUGGUCACUGUGCCAUGGUGGUGUCCUGGUGUCCCCACGGUGGUCACUGUGCCAUGGUGGUGUCCUGGUGUCCCCACAGUGGUCACUGUGGUCAGUCACUGCUCCAUGGUGGUGUCCUGGUGUCCCCACGGUGGUCACUGUGCCAUGGUGGUGUCCCCACAGUGGUCACUGCUCUGUGGCAAUGUCCCCUCAGUGUCCCAGUGGUCAGUCACCGUGCCAUGGUAGUGCCUCUGCUGGUCACUCUGUUCACUGACCCAUGGCAAUGUCCCCGUGCUGGUCAGCGCUCCAUGGCCGUGUCCUGGGGCGGUCACUGUGGUCACUCAGCGCUCCAUGGCAGCACCCUGGGGUGGUCACUGUGGUCACUCAGCGCUCCAUGGCCGUGUCCCAGGGCGGUCACUCAGCGCUCCAUGGCCGUGUCCCGGGGCGGUCACUGUGGUCACUCAGCGCUCCAUGGCCGUACCCUGGGGUGGUCACUGUGGUCACUCAGCGCUCCAUGGCCGUGUCCUGGGGUGGUCACUGUGGUCACUCAGUGCUCCAUGGCCGUGUCCUGGGGUGGUCACUGUGGUCACUCCAGCUCCAUGGCCGUGUCCCGGGGUGGUCACUGUGGUCACUCAGUGCUCCAUGGCAGCGCCCUGGGGUGGUCACUGUGGUCACUCCGUGCUCCAUGGCUGUGUCCCGGGGUGGUCACUGUGGUCACUCAGUGCUCCAUGGCCGUGUCCUGGGGUGGUCACUGUGGUCACUCCGUGCUCCAUGGCCGUGUCCCGGGGUGGUCACUGUGGUCACUCCGUGCUCCAUGGCCAUGUCCCGGGGUGGUCACUGUGGUCACUCAGUGCUCCAUGGCCGUGUCCUGGCGCAGCCUGGCCCUCACCACGCCGUCCAGCACGGCGUGCAGCCCCCGGCAGGCGGCCUGGGCAGCGUCCAGCACGGGCCGCAGCCGCUCCUGGUGCAGGCGGGCGCUGAGCUGGCACAGGGCCAGCUGCCCGCUGCCCGCCACCGUGGCCACGGCCAGCCUGGGGCCGCCGGCCGCCUCCUCGGCCGCGCUCAGGUCACUCAGGGCCACCGGGGGCCCGGCCGGG
RNAcentral lists this long non-coding RNA (1772 nucleotides) under Camarhynchus parvulus. Its description in RNAcentral is "lncRNA (ENSCPVG00000016905.1)". The record is from RNAcentral. Lineage: Eukaryota; Metazoa; Chordata; Aves; Passeriformes; Thraupidae.